UUAAGCGACUAAGCGUACACGGUGGAUGCCCUGGCAGUCAGAGGCGAUGAAGGACGUGCUAAUCUGCGAUAAGCGUCGGUAAGGUGAUAUGAACCGUUAUAACCGGCGAUUUCCGAAUGGGGAAACCCAGUGUGUUUCGACACACUAUCAUUAACUGAAUCCAUAGGUUAAUGAGGCGAACCGGGGGAACUGAAACAUCUAAGUACCCCGAGGAAAAGAAAUCAACCGAGAUUCCCCCAGUAGCGGCGAGCGAACGGGGAGGAGCCCAGAGCCUGAAUCAGUGUGUGUGUUAGUGGAAGCGUCUGGAAAGGCGCGCGAUACAGGGUGACAGCCCCGUACACAAAAAUGCACAUGCUGUGAGCUCGAUGAGUAGGGCGGGACACGUGGUAUCCUGUCUGAAUAUGGGGGGACCAUCCUCCAAGGCUAAAUACUCCUGACUGACCGAUAGUGAACCAGUACCGUGAGGGAAAGGCGAAAAGAACCCCGGCGAGGGGAGUGAAAAAGAACCUGAAACCGUGUACGUACAAGCAGUGGGAGCACAGAGCAAUCUGUGUGACUGCGUACCUUUUGUAUAAUGGGUCAGCGACUUAUAUUCUGUAGCAAGGUUAACCGAAUAGGGGAGCCGAAGGGAAACCGAGUCUUAACUGGGCGUUAAGUUGCAGGGUAUAGACCCGAAACCCGGUGAUCUAGCCAUGGGCAGGUUGAAGGUUGGGUAACACUAACUGGAGGACCGAACCGACUAAUGUUGAAAAAUUAGCGGAUGACUUGUGGCUGGGGGUGAAAGGCCAAUCAAACCGGGAGAUAGCUGGUUCUCCCCGAAAGCUAUUUAGGUAGCGCCUCGUGAAUUCAUCUCCGGGGGUAGAGCACUGUUUCGGCAAGGGGGUCAUCCCGACUUACCAACCCGAUGCAAACUGCGAAUACCGGAGAAUGUUAUCACGGGAGACACACGGCGGGUGCUAACGUCCGUCGUGAAGAGGGAAACAACCCAGACCGCCAGCUAAGGUCCCAAAGUCAUGGUUAAGUGGGAAACGAUGUGGGAAGGCCCAGACAGCCAGGAUGUUGGCUUAGAAGCAGCCAUCAUUUAAAGAAAGCGUAAUAGCUCACUGGUCGAGUCGGCCUGCGCGGAAGAUGUAACGGGGCUAAACCAUGCACCGAAGCUGCGGCAGCGACACUGUGUGUUGUUGGGUAGGGGAGCGUUCUGUAAGCCUGUGAAGGUGUGCUGUGAGGCAUGCUGGAGGUAUCAGAAGUGCGAAUGCUGACAUAAGUAACGAUAAAGCGGGUGAAAAGCCCGCUCGCCGGAAGACCAAGGGUUCCUGUCCAACGUUAAUCGGGGCAGGGUGAGUCGACCCCUAAGGCGAGGCCGAAAGGCGUAGUCGAUGGGAAACAGGUUAAUAUUCCUGUACUUGGUGUUACUGGCGAAGGGGGGACGGAGAAGGCUAUGUUGGCCGGGCGACGGUUGUCCCGGUUUAAGCGUGUAGGCUGGUUUUCCAGGCAAAUCCGGAAAAUCAAGGCUGAGGCGUGAUGACGAGGCACUACGGUGCUGAAGCAACAAAUGCCCUGCUUCCAGGAAAAGCCUCUAAGCAUCAGGUAACAUCAAAUCGUACCCCAAACCGACACAGGUGGUCAGGUAGAGAAUACCAAGGCGCUUGAGAGAACUCGGGUGAAGGAACUAGGCAAAAUGGUGCCGUAACUUCGGGAGAAGGCACGCUGAUAUGUAGGUGAAGUCCCUCGCGGAUGGAGCUGAAAUCAGUCGAAGAUACCAGCUGGCUGCAACUGUUUAUUAAAAACACAGCACUGUGCAAACACGAAAGUGGACGUAUACGGUGUGACGCCUGCCCGGUGCCGGAAGGUUAAUUGAUGGGGUCAGCGCAAGCGAAGCUCUUGAUCGAAGCCCCGGUAAACGGCGGCCGUAACUAUAACGGUCCUAAGGUAGCGAAAUUCCUUGUCGGGUAAGUUCCGACCUGCACGAAUGGCGUAAUGAUGGCCAGGCUGUCUCCACCCGAGACUCAGUGAAAUUGAACUCGCUGUGAAGAUGCAGUGUACCCGCGGCAAGACGGAAAGACCCCGUGAACCUUUACUAUAGCUUGACACUGAACAUUGAGCCUUGAUGUGUAGGAUAGGUGGGAGGCUUUGAAGUGUGGACGCCAGUCUGCAUGGAGCCGACCUUGAAAUACCACCCUUUAAUGUUUGAUGUUCUAACGUGGACCCGUGAUCCGGGUUGCGGACAGUGUCUGGUGGGUAGUUUGACUGGGGCGGUCUCCUCCUAAAGAGUAACGGAGGAGCACGAAGGUUGGCUAAUCCUGGUCGGACAUCAGGAGGUUAGUGCAAUGGCAUAAGCCAGCUUGACUGCGAGCGUGACGGCGCGAGCAGGUGCGAAAGCAGGUCAUAGUGAUCCGGUGGUUCUGAAUGGAAGGGCCAUCGCUCAACGGAUAAAAGGUACUCCGGGGAUAACAGGCUGAUACCGCCCAAGAGUUCAUAUCGACGGCGGUGUUUGGCACCUCGAUGUCGGCUCAUCACAUCCUGGGGCUGAAGUAGGUCCCAAGGGUAUGGCUGUUCGCCAUUUAAAGUGGUACGCGAGCUGGGUUUAGAACGUCGUGAGACAGUUCGGUCCCUAUCUGCCGUGGGCGCUGGAGAACUGAGGGGGGCUGCUCCUAGUACGAGAGGACCGGAGUGGACGCAUCACUGGUGUUCGGGUUGUCAUGCCAAUGGCACUGCCCGGUAGCUAAAUGCGGAAGAGAUAAGUGCUGAAAGCAUCUAAGCACGAAACUUGCCCCGAGAUGAGUUCUCCCUGACCCUUUAAGGGUCCUGAAGGAACGUUGAAGACGACGACGUUGAUAGGCCGGGUGUGUAAGCGCAGCGAUGCGUUGAGCUAACCGGUACUAAUGAACCGUGAGGCUUAACCUU
This 2904-nucleotide ribosomal RNA is filed under the name Escherichia coli TW10246. RNAcentral describes it as "bacterial LSU rRNA". It matches the Rfam family "Bacterial large subunit ribosomal RNA". The record is from RNAcentral. Lineage: Bacteria; Pseudomonadati; Pseudomonadota; Gammaproteobacteria; Enterobacterales; Enterobacteriaceae.